RNAcentral lists this transfer RNA (71 nucleotides) under Sphaerodactylus townsendi. Its description in RNAcentral is "tRNA-Thr". The stretch from base 7 to 63 matches the Rfam family "tRNA", at positions 8 to 63 of the family's 71-position model. From Rfam's summary of the family: Transfer RNA (tRNA) molecules are approximately 80 nucleotides in length. Their secondary structure includes four short double-helical elements and three loops (D, anti-codon, and T loops). The record is from RNAcentral. Lineage: Eukaryota; Metazoa; Chordata; Lepidosauria; Squamata; Sphaerodactylidae.
GAUCAAUGGUUUAAUGAUAAAAUAUCUGAUUUGUAUGCAGAAGGUCCCAGGUUCAAUCCCUGACAUCACCA